RNAcentral lists this long non-coding RNA (483 nucleotides) under Marmota monax (woodchuck). Lineage: Eukaryota; Metazoa; Chordata; Mammalia; Rodentia; Sciuridae. The record is from RNAcentral.
UAUUAUAAAGUACAAAUACAUAAAGCACUUUUAUGCUCAGGGAACUCACAACAGGAGAGAGGUAUGCAAACACUGACACCAAACCACUUUGGGAAUAUAAAGGAGGUAGUACUAUUGGACAAGGAGGGAGAAAUGAUAAGCCAAACCUUCCUUAAGUGGGGAGGUCCUUGAACUAAUGUGUGAAGAGUUAGUUUCACGUCAGCUUAUGGAAGUGAGAGGGUAGAUUUGAGACAGUUUUAGGAGCAUCACAGGUUAGGGCUGGGGAUUUACAAGGAACAAUGCUCUGUAGGAUUGGGGAGAAAGUUAGUUUCUUGGCUUAUUGUCUGAGGUUGGUUUCUGGCUGUUACUGAAACAGAAUACAGGAGGAAAUUGUUUAGGGAGAAAGUUUUAUUUAGAUUUUAAACAACUAAUUUUAGAGUAAUGGAUUGUUUUAGUCUAUUUUGUGUUGCUAUACCAAAAUACCUGAGGUUGGGUACUUUAUAC